UGGGGAAUAUUGCACAAUGGGCGCAAGCCUGAUGCAGCCAUGCCGCGUGUGUGAAGAAGGCCUUCGGGUUGUAAAGCACUUUCAGCGAGGAGGAAGGUGGUGAGCUUAAUACGCUCAUCAAUUGACGUUACUCGCAGAAGAAGUACCGGCUAACUCCGUG
This 160-nucleotide ribosomal RNA is filed under the name uncultured bacterium. RNAcentral describes it as "partial 16S ribosomal RNA". It matches the Rfam family "Bacterial small subunit ribosomal RNA", at positions 355 to 507 of the family's 1533-position model. The record is from RNAcentral.